GGGCUGCUCCAUCGCUUUGCACCGCCUGCACAAGGGGACUGAGCGGGGCAUUGACGAGUUGCCUAGGCUGUCGUGCCAUAGCAAGUACACACCCAAAGAACUCACCUUCUUGGUCUGUACCAGAGUACUCAUUCUCUCGGUGGUUUGGACUAUGUUCAUGGCGUUGCCGCUCUACGGAUCUGAGCUGACUGAAGUACUGCCUCUUGUCGUGCUCCUCUCCAUUGGCUGGAUUUAUGUCACCCUCUGGUUAUACUAUGUCGCUAACGAUCUCACGCACGGAGUUCUCCUUAAGGGGCCAAUGAAUUCACUUCCAUGUCUGAUCCCAUGUGCGGUGUUCACUCCUACGCUCUUGCUUCUGCCUGUUAUGUUCUCGGUAUUGUUACAUUGGCUGUUGCUGAUGGCCGUGGUUGGCUUCCUUGGGUACCAUCUUGCUGUCUACAUACGCUACUUGCACACUGCCGCACCAUGGUAUGUGUGAUCUACCUUGUUCGUUUAAUUGUUCUAUCAACUAGUUAGGUAUGUAUAUUCUUCAUAUAUUGUACAACUUGGAUGCAAUUCUUGUGUCUAUGAAAUUUUCUACGUUUUCAUUCUAAGUUGACCAUUUUGUGUUAGUGAUUUAAUGCCUAAUUUUAUGGGAAACAUUAGUAUGGUCUUCAGUAUGUCUAGAGUGAAUGAUCAGUAAAAAUAACACUACGACCCCUCUUUUAUAUGCCGCAUCAAGUGCCUCAUGCAACUUGCCUGCAUUUAUCUAAAAUAUUGGCAACACCUAGCCAACUAGAAGGGAUCACAGUUGAGCCCAGAUGUGCGCAAUCAUGGGCGGAGCUGGGCCCCAGGCAGCCCAGGCCGUUGCCUGGGGCGUGGGAAAUUUUCUCAGCCAUAUAUACAAAAAAACACAGGCAGCCUGGGCCAGCUGGCCCAUCCACCCAGGUCAGUGCCUUUCCCUGCGCGUGUGUGUGCUACUCACGAGGGUUUGGACGAACCUGUCCGCCGCCCCUUCCCCCAACUUGACGAACCUAGGCGAGGCCGGUGGCCGCGUCCCUGCCCGUUGGCGCCGCCCGCCGCCCCGCCGCCGGCUGUCGUCGUGCUACCCAUCCAGCCGCCCCCAAUCCCCUUCUGCGCCUAUGCCUAUACACCUAUCCAACCGCCCGCCCCCAGUCCCCUUCUGCGCCGUUGUGGGCUGCCGCCUUGUCCGGCGAGGCGGUGGCCCCGGCGAACUGCCGGCAAGGUGGCCGAGGUGGCCCUUCCUUGGAGGCGCCUUUUUCUCAACAGCUGCGUCACAGAGCAACUGGACAGCAGCAAGGCAGCAAGAGGAAAGCGCAAAUGGUCGUAUCUCUUCCAAUUUUCAAACCUCAAUUUUUUUUUGUAGAUGCCACUAUUGCUAGAUGAUGAUUUUUGUCAGUUGCUAGAUUAAACCGUUGCUGCUAGAGGCCAAUGUUUGUUAGAUACUUAGAUGCGAAAAUAAAAUUUGACAUUUAGUAAUUUUGCGGAAAUCCCUUUUGGAGCUCGGGCUCCAGUGAGGCCUCCAGAUUCAGAUUUGAAAUUUCAUUGAAAUUUAUAUGUUUACAUCUCAAAAAAUUCUGAAAAAAAUCACAUAUAUACAUGAAGGCAUAAUACACAUGUGUGUAAAUUUUCAGUUUAAAAUACAUUGAAAUGAGGGCUGUGCAAAAAGAUAAAUAUGGGGCUGUUUAACACAUGAUACUAUUCAUCCUCCCAUGCCAUGGAUUUGUCUUUUUUGUACAGGUCGUAACUCAAGGUAUUUCAUCAUGAAUUUUUACACACAUGUGAGUUACAUCCUUACAUACACGCAUAUUUUUUUCAGAAUUUUUUGAACCAUAAAAAUUUGAAUUUGAUUUUUUUAAAAAUAAAGGUCUCCAUGGAGCUCGGCCUCCAAAACGCCUUUCUCGUAAUUUUGUUCCUAUAUUACUGCUAGAGGCCAUUGAAUAUCAUGUUUGUUAGUAAUUUUGUUGCAACAUAGAUUGACUUUUGUAUGCCUUCAAACUGGAUUUUUUGGGUAGUUUUUAGCCUUUGGUUUCUCGCCUGGGGCGUUAGCAAAUCCUGGCUCCGCCAUUGUGCGCAAUGAUAUCGCAAAUUGCGUAUACUGCACUAUAUAGCACUCAAACUUUGUAACGUUGAUCGUCAGUGUUACUUUCUCUCUCUGUGAUUGCUGCUAACAAGGCAAAAAAAACACCUCCCCCCCUUUAGUUUAUGCAAGCUGUGUGGUCACCAUGGUAUGUUCUGAACCAAGUUCCAUUUAGGCAUUGUUUGGAGAAGUACAUGUAGUUGUUUUGCAGUAAACCAGACUAUUAGAGUGUAAUAAUGCAGGUUUGUAAGAAGAUUGUUGAUUUAGUGAGUAGCGAGACAAUAGCAUAAGAUGUGACGUUGCAGUUAGGUUUUGUAAAGUCAUCAAAAGAAAUUAGUAUGAACCCAAAGCAGACUACAAUUCUUAGUAACAAUAUCCACUUUUCCUUCUUGACCCUAACACUACUAGUGCAGUUCCAGUUUAUAAUUAGUUAUUUUUGUGUAGGUAUUCACCGUAAUAUUCUAUCAACUACACCCUCUGUUCCUAAAUGUACAUCUUUUUAGAGAUUUCACUAUAAACUACAUACAAAACAAAAUGACUGAAUUUACACUCUAAAAUACAUCUACAUGCAUCCGAUAGUGAAAUCUCUACAAAGACUUAUAUUUAGGAAUGGAGGGAGUAGCUAGCUAGGUGAUAUAUGUUUUAUAUAUGGUCCAAUUAUUAUUUUUCUUGUUGUUACCCUUAUUAGCUCUGGGUAUAUAAGAUCAUCUACAGCCGGGCGCCCUAUAUCCGUCUCAUACGCCUGGGCAGGCCGUCCGGUCGACCAGUCACAAAAAAUCGACCCAACCGAAGCUCUCAAACGGGCCUCAAACACCCUGACUGAUCGGCACCCCUCAUAUCCGUCUCAAUUGUAGGGCAAAUAUGAGGCGGCCCGGGCACGCCCGGGCGCGUCCGCCACGUCAGCCAGCCAACCGCCAGCCCACACCGACCCCACAAAAACCCCGUCUGGGAGAAACCCUAGCUCACUCUGCUUCGCUCCCCCCUCCCCGACGCUCCCAUUUCCCCAAUCCGCCAAACCCCUAGCGCCGGCGACCAUGUCCAGCACCGGCAACCACUCCGACGACAGCUUCAGAGACGAGGAGGAGCUGGCGCUCCGUAUCGCGCUCGAGCGCUUGCGGGUCGAUAUGGGCGGCAGCUCCGGGUUUGGUGCGACGCCACCUGUCGCCCGUCGCCGCAGUGCCGACGCCGGCGCCGGCCCUUCCCACCCUGUGCGCGGCUCUGCGAGGCCUGCGCGAUCUGCUCCUCCCACCCGACGGCCUCCUCCACCUCCGGUAGCUGCUCCACGCGGGCAGUGCUGGGUUCUAUUGCCCGCUCCGCCACAACCACGGAUGCGGACUCCGGAGUCGGAGGCACGUGUCGCCCGCCGCGAGAGGCAGAGGGCAAGGGUGAUGGCGGGCGGGUCCGACGCAUCUGCGCAGUCCGCCCGCCGCCUCCCGGUGCCUAACGAGGACGACCUUCUCCUCGAGUCGGUCACUGACUGAGGCGGAGACGAAGGCCCGACGGCUCCGGAGGAUUAAUGCCAAGCAGCUCCGGCUCGGCAUUGAGCAAUCCGAGCGGGAGGCGGCAGAUGCGGCGAGGGUGGCGAAGCUCAAGUGCAAGCAAGACCGCGUUGUCCGACGCUUGCAAGGCUACAUCGUCAUCUCUGAUUCCUCCUCCGACGACGGGUCCGACGGCUCUGACGUGGACCCACCUCCUGCCGCGGACUCCUAUAGCUGCGCCAGCAACCGGAAGGGCAAAGGGCUAGCCAGGAAGUGGUAACAUCCGUCUUAAUUUCAAGUGAUUAGAUGUAGUUUGAACUUGUCGGCCGUAUUAUGUGUAUUAUGUGAACUUUGGCUAUCUUUUGAAGAUCCGACUGUGACUCAUGAUCUACGUAGUUUUUAUCAACAUUGCAUGGGUUGCUUUGAAUAUGGGGGACGAAAUAUGAAAUACGCAGGUGUGAAGGCGUGGAUAUAGGGAAUGCCCGGUCACUAUCUGCGGGGGCGGAUUUGACAAAUCCGACUGUAGAUGCGCUAAUGCAUCGAAGAUGCACGUCCCGCUCCUAGUUCGGCAACGCGGAGGAUUUCCUAACUGGCGUGAUCAAUCUAUCCGGAUUCGUGUACAAUUGUAAUUUUUGGUUUUUGGCAUAUGUGGCCCUUCCCCUGUACUAUAUAUAAGGCCGCAUCAAUCAAGCGCAAAUCCUAAACGCCUUAAGCAAACAGUCCAGACCAAAGUUAGUCCAGCCCCCCCAAAAAAAACAAGUCGUGUUUCCCGAGCUUCCGAGGGCCGCCCAACUCGAUAUGCUCAGCCGCCACCAGCUCGACUGAGCCGGGCGACACCGAAAUCCAACCGAGCAAGACCGACACCCAGUUGAUUCCGCCAGCGAAGAUAAGGUCGCCGGCGCUGAAGACGGGAAAUCCUCCUCCGCCAACCCCAAGACCCAGCCGACGUUGGCGCUGACGGAGGCCAAAGUCGGUGAAGAGAUUGCUGCCGCCAUGGAUUCAACGUUAUGGACAAUGGUUAUGGAUUCCCCCCUUUUUCCAGAGGGGCAAGGCCACCGGAGCCAGAGACGAGAAUUCCUCCGCCGCCAGUCCGAAGAUCUACCUGCCGCACGCCGGAAGUGCCUGUGGGAAGACGUUCUCGCUAGGCCGCUUUGGUCAGUUCUGCCCCGCCCUCUGUUCACUGGUCAUCCGCGCCUUACUGUUACCGGUGAACAAGUACUGGCUUGAGUGCUUUUGGAAGCUUGACCCAAUUCGCCGUGCACUGAUCAUCCGCGUCUUUGUGGCCAUGGGUUUCAUGCUGAUGCUGGCCUUGGCCGUUCCUACCCUGUUACUUGUGCACUUCCACGGGCAGGAGAUGGCACAAGUGUGGGUCAUGUCGCUCACUCUGUGUUCAUACGCCAUGCUUGCCUCCCUCUUCAUCUGGAGGGAUUGGUGGUUCUACACAGACUUCGCACGUCUCUCUUACGGCCCCCUGUUGGCCUUAUUCGCCGCCACUGCUAUUGGCCCCCGCACCGCCAUCUUCAUCCUGCAUUGGUGGAGCACGGUAUGGGCUGCCGGAUACCUGGGCUACUCCAUCGCUUUGCACCGCCUGCACAAGGGGACUGAGCGGGGCAUUGACGACUUGCCUAGGCCGUCGUGCCACAGCAAGGAUGUGACCAAAGAACUUACCAUCUUGGUCUGUAUCAGAGAUUCAGAGCAUUCAUUCUCUCGGUGGGUUGGACUAUGUACAUGGCGAUGACGGUCUAUGGAGUGAACCUGACUCAAGAGCUGCCUAUUGUCUUAUACCUCUCCUGCAUUGGCUGGAUCUAUGUCACCCUCUGGUUAUACUAUGUCACUAAUGUUCUCAUGCACGGAGUUCUUAAGGGGCCAAUGCGUUCACUUCCCUAUCUGGUCCCAUGUGCGAUGCUCUCUCCUGUGAUGAUGUAUCUGUCUGUUUUCCUCUCGGUAUUGUUACAUUGGCUGUUGUUGAUGUCCUUGGUUGGCUUCCUUGGGUACCAUCUUGCUGUUUACAUACGCUACUUGCACACUG
This 5587-nucleotide long non-coding RNA is filed under the name Triticum aestivum (bread wheat). RNAcentral's name for it is "long non-coding RNA (TAES_LNC007399)". Lineage: Eukaryota; Viridiplantae; Streptophyta; Magnoliopsida; Poales; Poaceae. The record is from RNAcentral.